AAUGAGCAGCCUCCCAACCCACCCAAUCAAUGAGGAGGCAGCCACCAUCCUCCCUCUUUAUAAGGAGCUUGGCCGGCCACACCUCCUCUCCUUUGCCUCAUUUCUUUUCACUCCCUACUAUUUCCUCCACUCCCUCACACUCUCCUCCUCCACUUCCCCACGAAAAUGGUGCUCCCCUUGCUCCCAUGGCCGGCCAUGGCCAUGGCAAGCCACCAAGAUGAAGCUCUCGCUCUCCCUCAAGCUCCUCCUCACCAUGAGAGCCUCCCUCUCCUUCUUCUCCUCAACCCUAGAUGGUUUUCUCUCCUCUUCUUCUUCCUCCCUUGCUAAGAUUGGAUCUUGAUGCAGGUGCAUGUUGGUCCAAGCAUGGAGAAGCUUGAGCUAUCCUCAGAUCUGAAGUUCUUGAGCAAAGGCCAAAUCGAGUGAUUCAAAGUUCCACGAAUAGCUAUUGAAAAGAUCUACAACUUGGCGUUGGUUUCACCCUCAAAUUCGUUACAUAUUUUCCUCGAUCAAGAUCUGGUCAGAUCUGACUUGGUCGAAUUAAAUCAGGAGCUUGGGAACGAAUUUUUGAAUGAAACAAACUGGGGGAUACUUAGUUGUGCCAUGGUGAUACCGAGAGAGGCAAUUGCUAAGUUAUGAUACUCUCAUACCUUUACUAGAUGCGAACGAUUCCGGAGAAGAAGAAGAAGAAGUGGUUCGGACAAGGAUUUUAUUUAUAUUGAUGGGAUUCUUAUAUUGAUGAAGUUGAAGAAGUCCAGGGACAAAUAAGCCAAGGCAAGCCAUCUUUUGAUCUCUGAUAUGAUGUCUCUUUGGAUGUCAUCUUGUGCUAUCAAUAGCAUCUUGGUUCUAUGUGUGAUGAUCUCCAUAUUGUUGUCAUCUAUGCUUGGAUGCAAGCAUGGUACCUCUAGUAGUUUUAUCUUGUCAAGGUCUUGGUAAUUUGUUGGGUGUAUGGUAUCAUGGCCAUUGCUAUCCAACUUGCUUUCUAUAUUUAGCUUGAAUAUGUUCCACCUCGGGACAAGAUUCAUACUACACCCCCUUCUAGUGUAGAUGUAUCAAUACCAUGUUUUUGGUGUAUUCUCAAAUUGUGAUGAGUAUGCCUGUUUUCCCUUAAUGGUGUUGGUGUUGGUCAAUUCUCAUCCCUAUCUAUCUAUUGAUUGGGUUAGAUAGCACCACAAAUCUGAAAGUAUAUUUCCUCUUGUGUUGUCAUAAUACAUGCUUAGCUCAAGCAAGUAUGAUCCACUCCAAUACCUCUUUUUCAUACCCUCAAUGGCGUGAUGAUCCUCAUCUCGGCCAUAGUGUUGUAUUAGUUCAACUCAUGAAACUUUAGAUUGGGAACCCCUCAAGGUUUACCUUGUUGUAAAUGUUUAUGAAAACCUUGGGUGAGGCAAUCUUACCCAAGCGUAUGGUUUAUGAAAGGAAAGGAUCUUGACAAAGAUGGUUGGAAAGAGGAAGGUGUGUGUGACUUGGGUUUUUGAGAAAAAUGACACAUGGUUCUUUGUAUUCGCCCGGAACAACUAAACAGCGCAACCAUAGCUACUCCAACGUGGGCACGGGGCUUAACUUGACGUUUGUUCUUCUUAGCAUGAGGCACCGCACAACUAUACAAGGGUACGGUUACCCCCGAGUCCGGGUUGUCAUGGUUGGGACAAUAGUAUAACGGGAGGCCUUCGGGGCUGACCCGUCCGGAAGACACUAUGGGUCUCCUGGCUUGGCGGUGGAGCCACGCUCUAGAGGAGGUGAGCUGCCACGGUGCCGGGGAGGUACAUACUCCAUAGGGUAGGACCUCAUGUUAAGUCGAAUGGGCGAAAGGUUAUGUCCGGGUAUCCGUCGUGGCAUAUGUCGUUAUGCGGGGAUGAUGCCCACACGAUAGGUAUCCGGAUAGUUGUGGUGAAAGUGUGCAAACUCUGCAGAGUCAAAACUAUUCGAAUAGCCGCGUCCGCGGUCAUGGACGGUUGGGAUGGCCGUUACAGAGCUGUGUCGAGUUUUGGUUUUGAAAAUGAUUUCCAAAGGAAAUGUGUGUUGGAAGUACCGGAAGGGUACGGGAAAGAUGGUGUGCCGACCAUGUGGAGAUGGUCGAGGAAAAUGAAACAAAAGAGGGUGACCCUUCCUAGUGUUUCAUGUAGAGGAACUCUGCUUUAACAAAGAUAUAGAGAUGUCAUAGGACUUUCUUAGUGUCCCCUUCAACUGUGAUGUGGGAUGCUAUAUCCACAAGAGAAACUGAUUCUCUUUCACAUGCUAUAUCCACAAGAGAAACUGAUUCUCUUUCACAUGCUAUAUCCACAAGAGAAACUGAUUCUCUUUCACAUGCUAUAUCCACCAGAGAAACUAUUCUUCCUCUCUUGUCUUCUUUAGUUAGAAUUGUUAUCACCUUCUUGAUGGUUUGCGAGUACAAUUCAAAUGUACUCACGGCUUUGUCCCUGGCUAUUUACUUGGCCAGACCUGGAGGACUUCGACAGAUGAAGAAGGAGUUGACGACGUUUAUGCGAGCUAGGAACGUCUUCCCAGUCAGUUGCCUGUAGGGUUAAGGCAGAUGACUUGGGCUCUGCGCUGCUGAAGUGAUUCCGCUACUCUGAUGAUUAGAUUAGGCCCUUCGAGGCGAUUAUGUAAAGAUUGGUCAUGUGACCUUGUUGUAAUUUUCUUAUUCCGUUUUGUAAAGGAUGAUGUAAUUUUGAUAUCAGUUCGGUUAUGUGUUCACGGCGCACUGAUCAUGGGAUCGUGAACUGUAUACAUAAAAGGGUAUUUCGGACAGCUAGUCCGGGGUCCCCACACAUGAUAUUUUUAGUCCCCCAAGCAUUG
This is a long non-coding RNA of Lolium perenne, 2793 nucleotides long. RefSeq lists it as uncharacterized. The record is from RefSeq and is a predicted model, not a curated record. NCBI's taxonomy places the organism in Eukaryota, Viridiplantae, Streptophyta, Magnoliopsida, Poales, Poaceae.